GGCCUGAUGGUCUAGUAGCAUGAUUCUCCCUUCGGGUUAGCCCCAGUCGAUGAGCGACUCACAAAUGGGAGAGGUCCCGGGUUCAAUUCCCGGUCAGGCCC
Molecule: non-coding RNA, 101 nt
Organism: Dendrothele bispora CBS 962.96
Lineage: Eukaryota; Fungi; Basidiomycota; Agaricomycetes; Agaricales
Source: the annotation of a GenBank genome assembly